This 253-nucleotide ribosomal RNA is filed under the name uncultured bacterium. Its description in RNAcentral is "partial 16S ribosomal RNA". It matches the Rfam family "Bacterial small subunit ribosomal RNA", at positions 524 to 776 of the family's 1533-position model. The record is from RNAcentral.
UACGUAGGGUGCGAGCGUUGUCCGGAAUUAUUGGGCGUAAAGAGCUCGUAGGCGGUCUGUCGCGUCGAAUGUGAAAACCCGGGGCUCAACUCCGGGCUUGCAUUCGAUACGGGCAGGCUAGAGUUCGGUAGGGGAGUCUGGAAUUCCUGGUGUAGCGGUGAAAUGCGCAGAUAUCAGGAGGAACACCGGUGGCGAAGGCGGGACUCUGGGCCGUAACUGACGCUGAGGAGCGAAAGCGUGGGGAGCGAACAGG